Molecule: ribosomal RNA, 252 nt
Filed under: uncultured bacterium
Lineage: Bacteria
Description: partial 16S ribosomal RNA
Rfam family: Bacterial small subunit ribosomal RNA
Source: RNAcentral
UACAUAGGGUGCAAGCGUUAUCCGGAAUUAUUGGGCGUAAAGCGUUCGUAGGCGGUUUAUUAAGUCUGAAGUUAAAGCCCGGGGCUCAACCCCGGCCCGCUUUGGAUACUGAUAGACUAGAGUUAUAUAGAGGUAAGUGGAACUCCAUGUGAAGCGGUGGAAUGCGUAGAUAUAUGGAAGAACACCAAUGGCGAAGGCAACUUACUGGAUAUACACUGACGCUGAGGAACGAAAGCGUGGGGAGCAAACAGG